RNAcentral lists this ribosomal RNA (75 nucleotides) under Alternanthera pubiflora. Its description in RNAcentral is "partial 5.8S ribosomal RNA". The record is from RNAcentral. Lineage: Eukaryota; Viridiplantae; Streptophyta; Magnoliopsida; Caryophyllales; Amaranthaceae.
CGUGACCAUCGAGUUUUUGAACCCAAGUUGCGCCCGAAGCCCUCGGGCCAGGGCACGUCUGCCUGGGCGUCACGC